RNAcentral lists this long non-coding RNA (273 nucleotides) under Homo sapiens (human). Its description in RNAcentral is "HSALNT0341451". Lineage: Eukaryota; Metazoa; Chordata; Mammalia; Primates; Hominidae. The record is from RNAcentral.
CAUACAUUGCUGAUAGGAUUAUCAAUUAGUACAAGAUUUCUGAAGGGAAUCUGGCAAUGUGUAUCAAGAAACAACAACAAAAAAUUAUACCCUUUGAACCAAGAUGGAGUUUUGCUACGUUUUCCAGGCUGGAGUUCUAUAUUUUUAAGAUUGAAGAUGUCCUUGAUGAUAUAUGGUAUAUUUGCCUCCGUUUCAGACUUACAGACACAAGGAGGUACAGAAACUUUGGCUAGGAUCUCACACCAAUAAAUGCCUAGCACUGUGUUUAGUACC